UGGGGGAUUGUGUAAUGGUAGCACGGCAGAUUCUGGAUCUGCUUGUGAGGGUUCGAAUCCUUCUCCCCCAG
RNAcentral lists this transfer RNA (71 nucleotides) under Spirochaetota bacterium. RNAcentral's name for it is "Spirochaetes bacterium tRNA-Gln". It matches the Rfam family "tRNA". Rfam says of the family: Transfer RNA (tRNA) molecules are approximately 80 nucleotides in length. Their secondary structure includes four short double-helical elements and three loops (D, anti-codon, and T loops). The record is from RNAcentral. RNAcentral also lists the same sequence under 1 other name. Lineage: Bacteria; Pseudomonadati; Spirochaetota.